AGUUUGAUCCUGGCUCAGAACGAACGCUGGCGGCAGGCUUAACACAUGCAAGUCGAACGCAUCGCAAGAUGAGUGGCAGACGGGUGAGUAACGCGUGGGAAUCUACCCAACCCUGCGGAAUAGCUCUGGGAAACUGGAAUUAAUACCGCAUACGCCCUACGGGGGAAAGAUUUAUCGGGGAUGGAUGAGCCCGCGUUGGAUUAGCUAGUUGGUGGGGUAAAGGCCUACCAAGGCGACGAUCCAUAGCUGGUCUGAGAGGAUGAUCAGCCACAUUGGGACUGAGACACGGCCCAAACUCCUACGGGAGGCAGCAGUGGGGAAUAUUGGACAAUGGGCGCAAGCCUGAUCCAGCCAUGCCGCGUGAGUGAUGAAGGCCUUAGGGUUGUAAAGCUCUUUCACCGAUGAAGAUAAUGACGGUAGUCGGAGAAGAAGCCCCGGCUAACUUCGUGCCAGCAGCCGCGGUAA
RNAcentral lists this ribosomal RNA (465 nucleotides) under uncultured bacterium. RNAcentral's name for it is "bacterial SSU rRNA". It matches the Rfam family "Bacterial small subunit ribosomal RNA", at positions 10 to 523 of the family's 1533-position model. The record is from RNAcentral.